RNAcentral lists this small RNA (618 nucleotides) under Pongo abelii (Sumatran orangutan). Its description in RNAcentral is "processed transcript". The record is from RNAcentral. Lineage: Eukaryota; Metazoa; Chordata; Mammalia; Primates; Hominidae.
UUCUGUCGGUUGGUCCUGGAGCGGCGCAGCCGGAGUGGGGCCGUGAGAUCUUAUUCAGGGCUUCUCAGCCUGAACCCCCAACCAGAUUAAUUUCUCCACAGCUGGAAUUCCAAGUGCUUGGGGAUAAUGAUACCUCUGACCUUUCUUCCUUUUGGGAAGUACUUGAGUGUGCAGCUGCAUGAGGCCUCAGCAGGAGAGAGAUUUUAGGUCCAAGAAGCUAUACCAGUAGGACAAGGCAGGAAAAUACUACACUUUCAGGAUCAAGCCCCUCUGACUCUCAUUUGGAAACUGGAUGUUUGCUAAGCACCUGCUUCUUAAGGAUGCCGAGGGAUUUAAUGAUACUCCCAGAAACCUGGAGAGAUUAAUGGGGCCUAUGGAGAAGUGCUCUGAACUCAGUGUUGGGACUUGAAUAAAAUUAACCAUUAUCAUGUUUUCAGAACAACUAAGCUGUUUUAUAUUUCAUGUGCAUGAAAGCCCUAGAACUGAGUUGUGUUAUUUCCAGAAAUGAAAUAGAUCCCACAGUUAGAUCAUGUGGCCAUUAGUAAGUACCAAAUUUAUAAAAAUCACUGGAGGUCUGUCUGAGCAGUACCUAAUAAAAUAUAGUAUACUGAAAGUGAA